This is a long non-coding RNA of Macrobrachium nipponense, 406 nucleotides long. RefSeq lists it as uncharacterized. NCBI's taxonomy places the organism in Eukaryota, Metazoa, Arthropoda, Malacostraca, Decapoda, Palaemonidae. The record is from RefSeq and is a predicted model, not a curated record. The transcript is spliced from 3 exons.
AUUCUAGGUGCUUCAGUGAUAGCCCAGGGUACGUUCAAGGUAACAACAAAAUGUCUCUCGUCGGAAAGCUCGUCAGCUCCGUCAUGGCCAAACUUCCAGUCGGCCCAAAACAUUUACAGAUGGUGCAGGCUUGGGUACCAUCAGCAUGCGUAUUUGGAGCAGGGGCUGGAGCAGCAGGUUUGUACUUCCUCGACUGGAAAUUAAUAAAUCAGUUUAUUCCUUUCUAUGGUGGGAAGUUUGCAGAAGAAGAAGAAGAAUAAAAAUGUCUGCUUGUUUUGUCUCGUUUGUAUUUAGGUCAUCACUCACAUUUUAGGAUGGACUUUUUAAGUUAUUACGUCAGUCUGAGGAAGGUUCUCAUGUAUAAAUUGUACAAACUUCAUAUUCCAUUAAAGUAAAUUUAAAACUA